Non-coding RNA from Acanthosepion pharaonis, 94 nucleotides. Lineage: Eukaryota; Metazoa; Mollusca; Cephalopoda; Sepiida; Sepiidae. The record is from the annotation of a GenBank genome assembly.
GAACACCGGUUCCCGUAGAAUCACUGAAGUUAAGCAACGUCGAGCCUGGUCAGUACCUAGAUGGGUGACCACGUGAGAAUACCAGGAACUGCAA